Molecule: long non-coding RNA, 284 nt
Organism: Cucurbita maxima (winter squash)
Lineage: Eukaryota; Viridiplantae; Streptophyta; Magnoliopsida; Cucurbitales; Cucurbitaceae
Exons: 4
Source: RefSeq, a predicted model, not a curated record
UUCAACAGCAAGAUAAAGUUCCAAUUACCUAGAAGAAAGGCGCUUUUCCAUCCUGAUCGAGCUGAGACAUCUUGCACCUGCAACGAAGGGUAGACAAGAGAAAAGGAAAAGUUGCUCGAAUGCAAACAUCAGGAGACGCAGAUUGGCUGUUAUCAAGUGGAAAAGGAGAUUCAAUAGGGCGAUGAGGAAACUUCUGCAAGAGUUUUUUCAAGUUGAGAUGCUUGUACUUGUUUUUCCAAUGCAGAAAGAACAUCAGAAAUCUCAUGUAGCCUAUCUUGGUAUGC